Molecule: transfer-messenger RNA, 389 nt
Filed under: Candidatus Parcubacteria bacterium
Lineage: Bacteria; Candidatus Parcubacteria
Also listed under: 1 other name
Rfam family: transfer-messenger RNA
About the family: Bacterial tmRNA, also known as 10Sa RNA or SsrA, is named for its dual tRNA and mRNA-like properties. Its role is to liberate the mRNA from a stalled ribosome.
Source: RNAcentral
GGGGAUGAUCGGCCUAGACAUGUGAUUCCCUUCCUUUUGUGCGCGAUAGAGCCGGAUACCUCUUAAAACUUUCCACCCAUCAAAUGCAAAAUCAGUAAAAUCGCCAUUCGCGGUUAACGAUUUCUCAUUCGCUUUCGCGAAAGCCUAAGCGACGGCGGCCCGCUCGCAUUUCCGGCGCGGCGGCAACCGACGUUAUAGAUCCGGAAUAGAAGAAGGCUCGUUUCGGCCCCUUCGAAUGGCUUCGGCCAUAGAAACUCGGCGCCCGCACGUUUUGUGAUCUUUUAAAGUGCGCCCGCUUAAAGCCCCUGAAGGGUGAAAACUCUCUACGUCGCGUAGACUCAAUCGGAAAUCUCGCAUGCACCCGAGUUCGAUUCUCGGCAUCUCCACCG